GACGAACGCUGGCGGCGUGCCUAAUACAUGCAAGUAGAACGCUGAAGAGAGGAGCUUACUCUUCUUGGAUGAGUUGCGAACGGGUGAGUAACGCGUAGGUAACCUGCCUUGUAGCGGGGGAUAACUAUUGGAAACGAUAGCUAAUACCGCAUAACAAUGGAUGACACAUGUCAUUUAUUUGAAAGGGGCAAUUGCUCCACUACAAGAUGGACCUGCGUUGUAUUAGCUAGUAGGUGAGGUAAUGGCUCACCUAGGCGACGAUACAUAGCCGACCUGAGAGGGUGAUCGGCCACACUGGGACUGAGACACGGCCCAGACUCCUACGGGAGGCAGCAGUAGGGAAUCUUCGGCAAUGGGGGCAACCCUGACCGAGCAACGCCGCGUGAGUGAAGAAGGUUUUCGGAUCGUAAAGCUCUGUUGUAAGUCAAGAACGGGUGUGAGAGUGGAAAGUUCACACUGUGACGGUAGCUUACCAGGAAGGGACGGCUAACUACGUG
This 497-nucleotide ribosomal RNA is filed under the name uncultured bacterium. RNAcentral describes it as "partial 16S ribosomal RNA". It matches the Rfam family "Bacterial small subunit ribosomal RNA", at positions 28 to 507 of the family's 1533-position model. The record is from RNAcentral.